UGCAACAGACUGACAGAGUUAACUGAGUUCUUGCCUUACCUGAGAGUUUUGAAGAUCAAAAGAUGUGCUUCAUUGAAAGCUCUUCCCGUGACCCCAUCUCUGAUUUUUCUGACACUUGUUGACAAUCUUGUUCUCGAGGAUUGGCAAGAAAAAGUACUGCAAUUAAUCUCCAGAAAUGAUCAAGGAGAGAAUGUCAGCCAAAUCCAUCAUUCUUUCAUGGGUCUUCUGGAGAUGAAAGUCAUUGACUGCCCCAAGCUGGAAGCACUUCCCCGAGUCUUUGCUCCACAGAAACUAGAGAUAAGUGGAUGUGAACUGUUGACUGCCCUCCCGCCGACAGGGUUUUCACAGCGUCUUCAGCAUUUAGCACUAGACAGAAGCAAUAAUAGAAUUUUACUGAGGAAAAUACCUGAAACGAGCUCUCUUUACUCCCUGGUCAUUUCCAAUAUGGCAAAUGUAGUAUCUUUACCGAAAUUGCCUCAUCUUCCAGGGCUCAAGGCUUUGCACAUCCAUAAUUGUGACGAUCUUGAGUCUUUAUCUGAAGAAGAAGAAUCAUUUCGAAGCUUAACAUCGCUCAGGUUAUUAUCCAUUCAAGGCUGUCAAAAACUUUUGACAUUGCCAAAUGAAGGGCUACCAACUCUCCUAGAGUGUUUGAGUGUUAGCUCUUGCCGCAAAUUGCAGUCUCUAGGCAGCAAGGAGACUUUGAAGAGCCUUACCUCGCUCAAAGACCUUUACAUUGAGGACUGUCCUCUGCUGCGGUCCUUUCCUGAGGAUGGCCUUCCUACUUCUCUCCGACAUUUGUACAUCGAAAAAUGUCCGGAGCUGACUGAGCAAUGCAAAAAGGAAGGAGGACCAGAAUGGUCAAAGAUCAUGGACAUCCAUGACCUGGAAAUUGAUUUCAUAGAGGAGUCUUCAACCCCAAAAUUGCCAAAGAAGAAACCUUGGUAUCGUCAUGUUUUCUGUGGGAAAGGAACUGAAGACUUGAAAGGAGAUGGAUCCAAAACACAUACUGUGUAAAGCAUCGCAAAGUGAUCAAGCAGCUUAUUUCUGGGUUGGAAGUGAAAACCGAAAUCUUUGCAAGGAUACAAUUAAUAUUUAUAUCUUCCAAUAAGUGUCACUGGAUGGUUUUAGAAGAAAUUGAUUUUCCUGCUAUUUUA
RNAcentral lists this unclassified non-coding RNA (1154 nucleotides) under Hevea brasiliensis (rubber tree). The record is from RNAcentral. Lineage: Eukaryota; Viridiplantae; Streptophyta; Magnoliopsida; Malpighiales; Euphorbiaceae.